This is a non-coding RNA of 491 nucleotides. It matches the Rfam family "Eukaryotic large subunit ribosomal RNA", at positions 956 to 1444 of the family's 3401-position model.
UUCUGCCGCGGUUUCCCUCAGUUUUCGCCCGUUUCUCGUAUCAGAUUUCUUUGGUACAUAGGGUAUGAUUAUCGGGCUUGUGGUUGUAUCAACCUUAACCUAUUCUCAAACUUUAAAUAUGUAAGAACGAGCCGUCUCUUAGUUGGACCGCUCGGCGAUUGAGAGUUUCUAGUGGGCCAUUUUUGGUAAGCAGAACUGGCGAUGCGGGAUGAACCGAACGUGAGGUUAAGGUGCCGGAAUUCACGCUCAUCAGACACCACAAAAGGGGUUAGUUCAUCUAGACAGCAGGACGGUGGCCAUGGAAGUCGGAACCCGCUAAGGAGUGUGUAACAACUCACCUGCCGAAUGAACUAGCCCUGAAAAUGGAUGGCGCUCAAGCGUGAUACCCAUACCUCACCGUCGGCGUUGAAGUGACGCGCCGACGAGUAGGCAGGCGUGGGGGUCGAGUGAAGAAGCCUUGGCAGCGAUGCUGGGUGGAACGGCCCCUAGUG